GGAUGCGAUCAUACCAGCACUAAAGCACCGGAUCCCAUCAAAACUCCGAAGUUAAGCGUGCUUGGGCGAGGGUAGUACUAGGAUGGGUGACCUCCUCGGAAGUCCUCGUGUUGCAUUCC
This 119-nucleotide ribosomal RNA is filed under the name Triticum aestivum (bread wheat). The record is from RNAcentral. Lineage: Eukaryota; Viridiplantae; Streptophyta; Magnoliopsida; Poales; Poaceae.